AAGUCGUAACAAGGUUUCCGUAGGUGAACCUGCGGAAGGAUCAUUAUGUGAGUGAUAGAGGAGAGAUUGUGAAGAGUUGUUUUGUUGGGUGAGCAUGGAGGUGCAUGUGAGCAUGGGAGACCCAUGCAGAGCACGGAUGACGUGGCACUUACAAAACAAGAAAGAUUAUGGGAUAAUAUAAGGAGAUGAAUAAUAAUUUAAUAAUAAUAAUAACUUUUAACAAUGGAUCUCUAGGUUCUU
This 240-nucleotide unclassified non-coding RNA is filed under the name fungal sp. RNAcentral describes it as "partial internal transcribed spacer region". The stretch from base 1 to 46 matches the Rfam family "Eukaryotic small subunit ribosomal RNA", at positions 1786 to 1831 of the family's 1831-position model. Lineage: Eukaryota; Fungi. The record is from RNAcentral.